Hordeum vulgare subsp. vulgare (domesticated barley) is the source of this 1124-nucleotide long non-coding RNA. RefSeq lists it as uncharacterized. The transcript has 3 exons. The record is from RefSeq and is a predicted model, not a curated record. Lineage: Eukaryota; Viridiplantae; Streptophyta; Magnoliopsida; Poales; Poaceae.
UCCCCUCUGGUCUCCUCACUCUCUUACUAUAUCCGCCGCCGCCGUCGCCGCCGUAGCGCCAUCCCUACUGGACUCGGAGAUCUUCCUCUUCCUCUCGGUAGGACCCGCCCCCCGGCCAGUUCUUGGCAGGUGACCCGGUGCGUCUCUGUUUUUCGGCAGCUCACGCCAAUGGCCCAAGCGCAGACACCGGAGGCACAAGGCGGCGCUGUCGGCGGAGCCAGGAGAAGCCGCGGCCCUCCUAAUUCUUGAGCUCCACAGAAAGCAGCGAUCUCUAUUCCUCUGCCUAUCGCCGCCUCAAUGAUACCAAGCGUGGACAGAGAUUAACCAGGGUAGUAUUGUGCGUGGAUAGGACUAGGAGUGACAUUGACAUGCUUAUCGCUUCAGGAUGUUCUCUGUUGUGGACAAUCAUUUCGACCUGUGCCAGCCAGAUGGGUUUACAAACAAACAGAGAGGUAGCCUGCAGGUGCAAAUCCCUGAAUUUUUUGACCUGCUCUUUCUCUGAAACGCCCAUGUCUAAUGGGAGGGAGAAGAAGGUACUUGGAGUUGGGAGGGCCUGGAACUCACUAUAAUUUUCUAGUUUCUGCACCUUCUGUCUUUGGUUUCUGUAGGAUGCUCCUCAGCAGGCAAGAAUCUUCCCCUUCGCUCAACAUUCAUUUAUCUUCGACUUAUUUUAUAACACAUUACAUAGUUGGUAGCUAAACCAGAAAGGUUAACUGUUAAUCGUGCAUCUCUGAAGGUUUGAGUGAUUUCGUCUUGUGUUCCGCAUCCUGUUGCUUAGUGGACCUAGUCUUUCACAGUUUUGUGUCAGGUUAGCUUAAUUGUAUAUUGAGUAUUGACAUACGUAUUGUUUUCGUUCAGCUAUACAACAUUGACCUCGCUGGACCGCAUUAUCCAUUCAAAUAUGUGCACACAAGUGCUUUGAAAUGUUCAAGGAAUAUAAUGUAGCUUUCAAAUGUACAAUACAGUUGUAUUGUAUGUUUACGGUGUGGUUAGAGUUGUAUGACACAUGAGUACUCUUGAACAAUUAGCUGCCGUGGCAAAAUGUAUGCAUCCCUUGUGCAGCUGCUACCUGCUAGGGUAUCAGACUUUGUCCUUGGAUACAUAAAGGCAUCAAUUUCUUUAAA